CAUGCAGUCGAACGAAGUAGCAAUACUUAGUGGCAGACGGGUGAGUAACAUGUGGGUAUCUACCCUUUGGCCUGGAAUAACACGAGGAAACUUGUGCUAAUACCGGAUAAGUCUUUACAGAGAAAGCUUUAUGCACCAUUGGAUGAGCCCGCACUUGAUUAGUUUGUUGGUAGGGUAAUGGCCUACCAAGACUAUGAUCAAUAGCUGAUUUGAGAGGAUGAUCAGCCACAUUGGGACUGAGACACGGCCCAAACUCCUACGGGAGGCAGCAGUGGGGAAUCUUGCACAAUGGAGGAAACUCUGAUGCAGCGAUGCCGCGUGAGUGAAGAAGGCCCUUGGGUUGUAAAGCUCUUUCGUCGGGGAAGAAAAUGACUGUACCCGAAUAAGAAGGUCCGGCUAACUUCGUGCCAGCAGCCGCGGUAAUACGAAGGGACCUAGCGUAGUUCGGAAUUACUGGGCUUAAAGAGUUCGUAGGUGGUUGAAAAAGUUAGUGGUGAAAUCCCAGAGCUUAACUCUGGAACUGCCAUUAAAACUUUUCAGCUAGAGUAUGAUAGAGGAAAGCAGAAUUUCUAGUGUAGAGGUGAAAUUCGUAGAUAUUAGAAAGAAUACCAAUUGCGAAGGCAGCUUUCUGGAUCAUUACUGACACUGAGGAACGAAAGCAUGGGUAGCGAAGAGGAUUAGAUACCCUCGUAGUCCAUGCCGUAAACGAUGUGUGUUAGACGUUGGAAAUAUAUUUUUCAGUGUCGCAGCAAAAGCGUUAAGCACACCGCCUGGGGAGUACGACCGCAAGGUUAAAACUCAAAUGAAUUGACGGGGACCCGCACAAGUAGUGGAGCAUGUGGUUUAAUUCGAAGAUACGCGCAGAACCUUACCAACACUUGACAUGUUCGUCGCGACUCGAGAGAUUCGAGUUUUCGGUUCGGCCGGACGAAACACAGUGCUGCAUGGCUGUCGUCAGCUCGUGUCGUGAGAUGU
RNAcentral lists this ribosomal RNA (975 nucleotides) under uncultured bacterium. RNAcentral describes it as "bacterial SSU rRNA". It matches the Rfam family "Bacterial small subunit ribosomal RNA", at positions 54 to 1075 of the family's 1533-position model. The record is from RNAcentral.